This 511-nucleotide ribosomal RNA is filed under the name uncultured bacterium. RNAcentral describes it as "bacterial SSU rRNA". It matches the Rfam family "Bacterial small subunit ribosomal RNA", at positions 998 to 1509 of the family's 1533-position model. The record is from RNAcentral.
UCGACGAAAGUUGACUUCCGCAAGGACACUCGUAGAGGUGCUGCAUGGCUGUCGUCAGCUCGUGUCGUGAGAUGUUGGGUUAAGUCCCGCAACGAGCGCAACCCUUGUCUGCUGUUGCCAUCAGGUAAUGCUGGGCACUCUGCAGAGACUGCCGGUGAUAAACCGGAGGAAGGUGGGGAUGACGUCAAGUCAGCAUGGCCUUUAUGUCUGGGGCUACACACGUGCUACAAUGGCCGAUACAAACCGUCGCAAAACCGCAAGGUGGAGCUAAUCGGAGAAAAUCGGUCUCAGUUCGGAUUGUAGGCUGCAACUCGCCUGCAUGAAGUUGGAAUCGCUAGUAAUCGCGGAUCAGCACGCCGCGGUGAAUACGUUCCCGGGCCUUGUACACACCGCCCGUCACAUCACGAAAGCCGGUUGUACUAGAAGUCGCCACAUCAACCCGCAAGGGAGAGAGGCGCCUAAGGUAUGGUCGGUGAUUGGGGUGAAGUCGUAACAAGGUAGGCGUAGAUGA